GGACGAUUAGCUCAGUUGGGAGAGCAUCGCCCUUACAAGGCGAGGGUCACUGGUUCGAGCCCAGUAUCGUCCACCA
This 76-nucleotide transfer RNA is filed under the name Shewanella sp. RNAcentral's name for it is "tRNA-Val". It matches the Rfam family "tRNA". From Rfam's summary of the family: Transfer RNA (tRNA) molecules are approximately 80 nucleotides in length. Their secondary structure includes four short double-helical elements and three loops (D, anti-codon, and T loops). RNAcentral also lists the same sequence under 13 other names. The record is from RNAcentral. Lineage: Bacteria; Pseudomonadati; Pseudomonadota; Gammaproteobacteria; Alteromonadales; Shewanellaceae.